This 622-nucleotide long non-coding RNA is filed under the name Homo sapiens (human). RNAcentral's name for it is "HSALNT0393328". The record is from RNAcentral. Lineage: Eukaryota; Metazoa; Chordata; Mammalia; Primates; Hominidae.
GCCAGGAUUACCAACCAGGCGAAAGGUAGGACUUUCGCCUUCAUCCCAAGUGAGGGAUAUUUGCAAGCACAUAACCAAGAGAACAGGUAUUCCAGUGUAACAUGUUUGUGAUGUGGGAGGAGGCACUGGAAUCCUGAAACUCAAAGGACUCCCAGCCAACCGGGAACAGCCAAGAAAGGAGGUUCACUCCCAGUGGAAAGAGCACGAGCUUUGCUGUCGAAGGGACCUGGAUGCAGACACUGCCGCAGCCUUUGCAGCUUCAUGCUCUUGGCACAUCGUCUACCCUCUGAGCCUCCGUUCUCUUACAUGUAAAAUGGAGAUAAAUACACAUAUCUCACAGAUCAUUAGAAAGAUUGGGAGAGAUCCUUACAGACAACACGUGGGUCAUCUGGGAGCAGACCAGGUCGGGUGUGAUUCCGUCUGUCCUGAGACUCUUAAAAUUCUAAACUUCUGCCAUCUACAAUCAAGAGCAGGAGACAAGGCAAACACAUGCGAGAAAUAAAGAAGCCAUCCUGUAGACCUGAAACACUUAACUAACUGAUCAUUAAUCAUGAGGAACAGGUUUUGUGGGCAGCACUCCCAUGCAAACACCCAACUGCCAUUAACUUGCGUGGCAGAUGUC